This 459-nucleotide ribosomal RNA is filed under the name Salmonella enterica subsp. enterica serovar Newmexico. Its description in RNAcentral is "bacterial SSU rRNA". It matches the Rfam family "Bacterial small subunit ribosomal RNA", at positions 1 to 456 of the family's 1533-position model. The record is from RNAcentral. Lineage: Bacteria; Pseudomonadati; Pseudomonadota; Gammaproteobacteria; Enterobacterales; Enterobacteriaceae.
AAAUUGAAGAGUUUGAUCAUGGCUCAGAUUGAACGCUGGCGGCAGGCCUAACACAUGCAAGUCGAACGGUAACAGGAAGCAGCUUGCUGCUUUGCUGACGAGUGGCGGACGGGUGAGUAAUGUCUGGGAAACUGCCUGAUGGAGGGGGAUAACUACUGGAAACGGUGGCUAAUACCGCAUAAUGUCGCAAGACCAAAGAGGGGGACCUUCGGGCCUCUUGCUAUCAGAUGUGCCCAGAUGGGAUUAGCUUGUUGGUGAGGUAACGGCUCACCAAGGCGACGAUCCCUAGCUGGUCUGAGAGGAUGACCAGCCACACUGGAACUGAGACACGGUCCAGACUCCUACGGGAGGCAGCAGUGGGGAAUAUUGCACAAUGGGCGCAAGCCUGAUGCAGCCAUGCCGCGUGUAUGAAGAAGGCCUUCGGGUUGUAAAGUACUUUCAGCGGGGAGGAAGGUGUUG